AGAUCACACAGCCUUGGGGACGCCGGGUUGGGGCCAGUCUGAGGUCUCUUCGUCUUUCUGCUCCGGUGGAAGGACUUGAGGGGAUCGCCCGGGAGGCCCAUGUGCUGCUACUCCCUAAGGUCGAGCCUGUCAUGGGGAAUCCACUCCCCUGGGGCCAUUCCUGGAGCCAAAGGCGAGGAAACCCAGGAAGGUCGAUGUUAGAUCCACAGGACAUUAAACUCAGAGGUCGCCCAGUCCAGGGAUGGCAGCUCCCACCUUCUCCUCAUGUGUGCCCCUGCAGGCACUGAGCUUGGGACCGGCCUCAAGACACCAGACACACUCCAGCUGACGAUGGAUGGUGUCAGAACUGAAGUACCCUCGCCAUCUUUUCUCCUUACGUUCCCCUCCCCAUUUACAGAUGGGAGAAGGCAGGCUCAGCAAAGGAAAGGGACAGUGACUAAGCUCACAGGUCUUUGUCCAGGCCCUGGCGUGGCCAUCAGUAAGUGAUGAAACCUCUCUGAACCUCCACUUACUCAUCCGUAAAAUGGGGGCAAUGCGGCCUGCCUCAGGGACUGCUGGGAAGAUUCAACGAGCUAACAUGUGUGAAGUGCCCAACAGUUUGAACACAGCUCUCUCCGACCUCCGGGCCUUUGCACAUACUGUUCCCUUCCCUUGGGAACUGCCUCUGCCUGGCUAAGGCCUUGAGACUGGUGUGGAGAUCUUGAGCACAGAUCUGGAGCCAGAUUGUCUGGCAGCGAAUAGCUCCUCUAUCUCUCAGCUUCAUCGUCUGUAAAAUGGGGAUAAUAAUAGAACCUUCCUCACAGGGUGGUUCUGAGGACUCAGUGGGUUAGUAUACAUGAAGUGUUUGGAACAGAGCCUGGCGAAUGGAAAAUAGUAAGGGAACCAUUAUUACUAAGAUUCCUCCUUCCUCAUUUCUGGUCUCAGCUCAGACCUCACUUCCCUGGGGAAUUCUUCUCAUACCUUCCAGAGGCUGGUACGCAAUAAAAUGAGUAAAUAAAUGAG
Long non-coding RNA from Aethalodelphis obliquidens (Pacific white-sided dolphin), 1002 nucleotides. RefSeq lists it as uncharacterized. The record is from RefSeq and is a predicted model, not a curated record. NCBI's taxonomy places the organism in Eukaryota, Metazoa, Chordata, Mammalia, Artiodactyla, Delphinidae. The transcript is spliced from 2 exons.